This 507-nucleotide ribosomal RNA is filed under the name uncultured bacterium. RNAcentral describes it as "bacterial SSU rRNA". It matches the Rfam family "Bacterial small subunit ribosomal RNA", at positions 32 to 518 of the family's 1533-position model. The record is from RNAcentral.
AACGCUGGCGGCGUGCUUAACACAUGCAAGUCGAACGAGUGAGCGUUAUUGCACUAAGUUAACUUUAGGUAGUUAAUUUAGUGCAAUAGUGCAAGCUAGUGGCGGACUGGUGAGUAACGCGUGAGCAACCUACCUUUAACAGGGGGAUAACACUUAGAAAUAGGUGCUAAUACCGCAUAACAUUGAGAAGUGGCAUCACUAUUCAAUCAAAGAUUUAUCGGUUAGAGAUGGGCUCGCGUAUCAUUAGCUAGUUGGUGAGGUAACGGCCCACCAAGGCGACGAUGAUUAGCCGAUCUGAGAGGAUGACCGGCCACACUGGGACUGAGAUACGGCCCAGACUCCUACGGGAGGCAGCAGUGGGGAAUAUUGGGCAAUGGAGGCAACUCCUGACCCAGCAACGCCGCGUGAAGGAAGAAGGCCCUCUGGGUUGUAAACUUCUUUUGUAUAGGAAAAAGAAGUGAUGGUACUAUACGAAUAAGCUACGGCAAACUACGUGCCAGCCGCAGC